Molecule: ribosomal RNA, 381 nt
Filed under: uncultured Clostridium sp.
Lineage: Bacteria; Bacillati; Bacillota; Clostridia; Eubacteriales; Clostridiaceae
Description: bacterial SSU rRNA
Rfam family: Bacterial small subunit ribosomal RNA
Source: RNAcentral
CCGCGUGAGUGAUGAAGGUCUUCGGAUCGUAAAACUUUGUCUUAUGGGACGAUAAUGACGGUACCAUAGGAGGAAGCCACGGCUAACUACGUGCCAGCAGCCGCGGUAAUACGUAGGUGGCAAGCGUUGUCCGGAUUUACUGGGCGUAAAGGAUGUGUAGGCGGAUAUUUAAGUGAGAUGUGAAAUCCCCGGGCUUAACUUGGGGGCUGCAUUUCAAACUGGAUGUCUGGAGUGCAGGAGAGGAAGGCAGAAUUCCUAGUGUAGCGGUGAAAUGCGUAGAGAUUAGGAAGAAUACCAGUGGCGAAGGCGGCCUUCUGGACUGUAACUGACGCUGAGGCAUGAAAGCGUGGGGAGCAAACAGGAUUAGAUACCCUGGUAGUC